Molecule: ribosomal RNA, 474 nt
Filed under: uncultured bacterium
Lineage: Bacteria
Description: bacterial SSU rRNA
Rfam family: Bacterial small subunit ribosomal RNA
Source: RNAcentral
UCUGUCACUCCUACGGGAGGCAGCAGUGGGGGAAUAUUGCACAAGUGGGCGCAAGCCUGAUGCAGCCAUGCCGCGUGUAUGAAGAAGGCCUUCGGGUUGUAAAGUACUUUCAGCAGUGAGGAAGGUGGGGUAUGUUAAUAGCAUACUCAUUUGACGUUAGCUGCAGAAGAAGCACCGGCUAACUCCGUGCCAGCAGCCGCGGUAAUACGGAGGGCGCGAGCGUUAAUCGGAAUUACUGGGCGUAAAGCGCAUGCAGGUGGUUUGUUAAGUCAGAUGUGAAAGCCCCGGGCUCAACCUCGGAAUUGCAUUUGAAACUGGCAAACUAGAGUACUGUAGAGGGGGUAGAAUUUCAGGUGUAACGGUGAAAUGCGUAGAGAUCUGAAGGAAUACCGGUGGCGAAGGCGGCCCCCUGGACAGAUACUGACACUCAGAUGCGAAAGCGUGGGGAGCAAACAGGAUUAGAUACCCUGGUAG